UACGUAGGGGGCAAGCGUUGUCCGGAUUCAUUGGGCGUAAAGAGCGUGUAGGCGGCCAGGUAGGUCGGUUGUGAAAACUGGAGGCUCAACCUUCAGAGGUCGACCGAAACCAUCUGGCUAGAGUCCGGGAGAGGAGAGUGGAAUUCCUGGUGUAGCGGUGAAAUGCGCAGAUAUCAGGAGGAACACCAGUGGCGAAAGCGCGUGACUGGGCCACAACUGACGCUGAGGAACGAAAGCCAGGGGAGCGAAAGGG
RNAcentral lists this ribosomal RNA (253 nucleotides) under uncultured bacterium. Its description in RNAcentral is "partial 16S ribosomal RNA". It matches the Rfam family "Bacterial small subunit ribosomal RNA", at positions 524 to 776 of the family's 1533-position model. The record is from RNAcentral.